AGCAGCCGCGGUAAUUCCAGCUCCAAUAGCGUAUAUUAAAGUUGUUGCAGUUAAAAAGCUCGUAGUUGAAUUUCGGGGUUAGUAGGUUGGUCAUGCCUCUGGUAUGUACUGAUCUCACUGAUUCCUCCCUCUUGACGAACUGUAAUGUCAUUAAUUUGGUGUUGCAGGAAAUCAGGACUGUUGCUUUGAAAAAAUUAGAGUGUUUAAAGCAGGCUAAGGCUUGAAUACAUUAGCAUGGAAUAAUGAAAUAGGACGUUUGAUCCUAUUUUGUUGGUUUCUAGGAUUGACGUAAUGAUUAAUAGGGAUAGUUGGGGGCAUUAGUAUUCAAUUGUCAGAGGUGAAAUUCUUGGAUUUAUUGAAGACUAACUACUGCGAAAGCAUUUGCCAAGGAUGUUUUCAUUAAUCAAGAACGUAAGUUAGGGGAUCGAAGACGAUCAGAUACCGUCGUAGUCUUAACCAUAAACUAUGCCGACUAGGGAUCGGAUGAUGUUAAUUAUUUAAUGACUCA
RNAcentral lists this ribosomal RNA (508 nucleotides) under uncultured fungus. RNAcentral describes it as "SSU rRNA". It matches the Rfam family "Eukaryotic small subunit ribosomal RNA", at positions 569 to 1078 of the family's 1831-position model. The record is from RNAcentral. Lineage: Eukaryota; Fungi.